AUGGGGGGAACGCACUUCGCCGACGACGACCUCGCCCACGAGGCCACGGGCGACGGAGAUGUGGGCCGCCGCGACGUGGGCAAGAUGGAGCACGGGUGCGAGCAUUAUCGGCGGAGAUGCAAGAUCGUAGCGCCCUGCUGCAAGGAGGUGUUCCCCUGCCGCCAUUGCCACAACGACGCCACGGCUUUGGGUGAUCGGCAUAAUAUAUGUCGCCAGGAUGUUGAAAAAGUAGUGUGUGUACUCUGUGAUACUGAACAACCGGUGUCACAAGUGUGUGUAAGAUGUGGAGUCAAUAUGGGAGAAUACUUCUGUGAUGUAUGCAAGUUUUAUGAUGACGACACAGAGAAAGGGCAGUACCAUUGCCAUGAUUGCGGCAUAUGCAGGGUUGGCGGCAAGGAAAACUACUUCCACUGUGCAAAGUGUGGGUCAUGUUACGCUGUUGCAUUGCGUGAUAACCAUCAGUGUGUGGAGGAUUCAAUGAGACAGAACUGCCCAAUCUGUUAUGAGUAUCUAUUUGAUUCAUUAAAAGGAACAAGAGUUCUAAACUGUGGACACACGAUGCACAUGGACUGUUUCGCUGAGAUGGUGGACCAUAAUAAAUACACUUGUCCAAUAUGCUCUAAGACAGCUCUUGACAUGACAGUUCACUGGGGCAUGUUGGAUCAAGAGAUUGAAGCAACAAUUAUGCCUCCUGUAUAUCGUUACAAGGUUUGGGUUCUUUGCAAUGACUGCAACAAAGUCUCAGAAGUGGACUUCCACGUGAUUGGCCAUAAGUGCAGCCAUUGCAACUCAUACAACACUAGAUCGACGUCGCGGCCUGCAGAUUUAUCAGGAAGCAGUUCUCCGUCGACAACAGACUCAUCUUAA
This 867-nucleotide ribosomal RNA is filed under the name Triticum aestivum (bread wheat). RNAcentral's name for it is "partial small subunit ribosomal RNA". The record is from RNAcentral. Lineage: Eukaryota; Viridiplantae; Streptophyta; Magnoliopsida; Poales; Poaceae.